UGACUUAGAUUAGACCGUGCCUUUUUGUAGUCUUGUCUUCAGCAGGUGGAUGUGGGGAGAAGGCAAAGGGUGUUGUAAUUCAAGGUAAGACCAUACUAUGCAGUUACACUUUCAAGCAAGUUUAGGCCAGGUGCAUUCAUUAAUGAGAAUCUAUAACUUCAGGCAGAUUUAAGGAUCUAAGUAAAGCUGUCACUUCAAAACAAACAAAAACCAACCAAACAAAACCCCCCCCCAAACAAAAUCCAAACCCUGUUCAAUAGCCAGCUUACUGAAAGCACCAGCAUCCCAUGGGUGCAUCCCUGUAGUUCCAAAGGGAGAGUGCUUAAAACCCUGGGCAGUGCAGUGAGCUGCUCCAAUAAAAAGAAACAUAACAGAAUUCAAGUCAAACAGGCAUGUCCUCAGCAAGACUCUGAAAUGUCCAGCAAAAUUAGGCCAGUCAUAAAAAUAGCUGGAACUGACUUAUUUUUUAAUGUAUUUUGAAGCAUAGCUCAAGGCAGAAAAGAAGGUGUCUGUAGCAUUUCCCCAAGAAGACUUUGGAUCAGUGCCUCUUCUGAGGCUGAUAAGAUUCUUGCAAGACAAUUUGCUACAUGCUUGAUUGGGGGAUAUGCUGUAUUUUAAUGUUGAAACCAACAGAAAAAUAGCUCAGGGUCUUCCUCUAAAGGAAAAGCCGCGUGGCAGACCAGCAUCAGCCUUAAUCCAAAGGGGAAAGUAAGAUGAAAUUACCUUUCGUGCUGAAGGGUUGGAAGGUGACUCAAUGCACUGACAGGACAAACAGAGAAAGCAAGAGAAGCAAAUAGAAGAGGACUUCAUGGUGACUACCAAAAUGGAAAAAAAGUAAUAAGUAAAUGGGAAUUCUGGAGAGUGGCUAAAAGCUAAGGAUGUUCCUGACAACUGCAGUAAGCUUUUGAUAAGGAGUACAAGAACCCCACAAAACAUCAAAAUGUGUAAGUUCUCCUAGAAUUACCUGAGAAGUUUUAAAAUUCCUAUUUAAAAACAACAAAAAAAACCAAAGCCAAACACAAGACACAAUUUUCAAUUUAUUAAUAGAUGUUAACAGAUUAUUAUUAUUUUCCAUAAAAUGCCAAAUGGGUACAAGUACUUUUGUGAACAAAAUACUGAAUAUUACAGAGUUACAAGGAAAACUUAGAUCAGAAAUGAACACCAAAUCCUUCACUGUGUGUGUGGGCUUACACAAGUCAUGGUCCUUUCUGUUGUGUAAGGUUUUAUCCAAAAGACACUUUACAGUAACACAUAUUAGUUGAUAGAAUGAUGUCAGCGAAGUGUCCAGAGGUACCCAGGUUAUUCCAACUCUCCAUAGCUCAGGACCACAGAAAGAUGGCCCAGAGAGACAUAAAUAACAUAUAUAAAGUGUUGGAAUUCAAACAAAAUGAGCGAUUCCAUAAUCAGCAAAGCCUGCUAUGCUAAACACUGUUAAUAAUUAUGUUUUCCUCCAGCUAUAUGUACACAUCUAUUCACAGUGCCUAAUGCUGAGAAGCCUACUGAGAUUUAGAGGCAUUAAGAGGUAGUAGAGACAUCUCCUCACUCAGCCAAUGCUGAAUUUUGAACAUAAUUAACUAAUAUUUCAAAGAAAUAGUUUUAUUUCUUCUUCUCAUCAUCUGUACACCUCUGUUUAUGUUUGAAACGGAUCAGAGAUGAGAACCAUGUAUCAAAAAGAAACAUACUAAGAACAAAAAACUUCAUGUGUAACAAAAAACUUUCAAAAUCCACUGGAAUCCCAUGACCCUAGACACUAAUUAAGCCUUAUGCUUUGAUAUUAGAUCAGCUCCAACUAUUUUAGAAAAAUCCUGUCCUGCAUGCCCUUUUACUUCUCAAUUAUCCAUCACAGGAUAUUCCACACCUUUGUUGGAAGCUGCUCUCAGAAGAUUUAAGGGACCGUUGAUUUGAUCCAGAGCAGGAAUUCUCAUCUUUCCAUCCUGCAGUGGUGACCAAGACCCUCUGCAACCUGAAUAUAAAUGUAUAACUGGACUAAUGGCAGAGAGGACUGCUGGCAAAGUGUGGAGCUGCUUAACCACGAUAGUAAAAAUAAAAUAGUAUACUUUGAAUUAAGAGAGGGCUUCCCAGUGAAAUGGGAAGGUAUUAGAGCAUUCUGCUGGGACAGCUUAUUGCAUUAAUUUGUCCUCUAUUUAAAGAGGUCUCCACAGAUGCCCAACGUACUCUGGACAACCUUCCCACAAUUAACAGUCUUACUGUUUUGUCUUUGCUGAGCUUUAGGAAGACAAUACCAUUUAUUUAAUGCAGAUUAAAAUACACAUUGAUAAUGAAGAACAGAUUAGUGAAGUCUUAGUUAAUUACUAUUUUCAGUACAGUUCACUAUCAAUUAAUUAUAUUAUCAUGUAAUAGCUAGCAUACAUCUGUUCCCAAUUGGUUAAAUACUUCUGCAGCUAUACUCUUACUGAAACCCACAGCAAAAUUCC
This is a long non-coding RNA of Passer domesticus (house sparrow), 2435 nucleotides long. RefSeq lists it as uncharacterized. NCBI's taxonomy places the organism in Eukaryota, Metazoa, Chordata, Aves, Passeriformes, Passeridae. The transcript has 2 exons. The record is from RefSeq and is a predicted model, not a curated record.